UUGACAUAUACUAGAAUAUUUAAAUUGGUUUUAAGUCUUAAAGUUAAUGGGCUUUCGGGGCGGGCUUCUCAACCUCGUAAAGAAAGAAACGGAAGGGAAAGAACGGGAGGAUUCUCCCAGUUGCGUACAAUGUGAAGGCGCAAACUUUCAAGACGGCGAUAGAGGCUGCAUGGAUACUCGUCGAUGAUAUAGUGAGUGGUAUCAAGAAGAAGCAAGCUCCUGGAGCUGGGCCUAUAAAGCCAACCAUUGAGACAGAAGGAGAUGCGGACAACGAACAGAUUCUUCCUGGCUAAGACCAUCCGCAACGCGGGAUGUAGACAAAUCCUUAGCCCAAAUCCUUAGUGUCAUUUGAUUAUUUUAACAAUAUAAUAGACGAAACAGCUAAGGAUGAAUCCUUGUUCAAGGGUUUUAAGGAUUCAGUCCUUGAGGACGUGGCAUCAUUCUUCAUUUUUUUCAAUAGAUUCUCCUCCCCUUUUUUGUCACUGACGGUGAUCACUCCAGCUACACGUAUCGCGCCGCAGCUUCACUGAUCCUUUAACCACCGAUUGACACUCCCCUCCGCCUCUAAGAAACUCCUCUUCCUCAGAAACCCCACUCCCAGCCCCACGUUCGUCGCCGUCCGGUUCCAGAAACCUUACUCCGAUCGGCUCAACGGAAUCCACGAACCAUGCCUUUUCUGCUUCGUUCAAGCGGCCUCACCUUCAAGCUCCACCCUCUCGUGAUGCUCAACAUCUCCGAUCACUUCACCAGGGUCAAAACUCAGCUCAACCCUCCAUCCGAUCAGCUCAACCAGGGUCAUCGCUUUCUUCCUCUUUAAGGUACUGAUCGAAUCAUCACCAUGGCUAAGAACUCAUUCAAGCUCUCUAAUCCUCUUGGACUAUGUGCCUACUGUGUUUGAUAAUUUUCAGCGCCAAUGUGAUUGUGGAUGGAAACACUAUCAACUUGGGAUUGUGGGAUACUGCAGGCAAGCUACCUUUUCAUUUCAUCAUUCUCUUUCUGAAUAUUUUGCUCUGCAGAGAGAGAGUGAGUCGUUUGUUUAUUUGUUUUGGACUCUGGAUGAAACAUGACAAGAAGACUACAAUAGACUAAGGUCUUUGAGCUAUCGAGGUUCAGAUGUCUUCUUACUUGCCUUCUCACAUUCAGUUUCGGUUAAGUUGAUGGUGUUUAUGUGAAUAAAUGGUUUAAAUUUGCAGCAAGCUUACUUCAAUUUUGUAAUACUUCAAAUACAAGUGCUUUGACAAAAGCAAUUUUGUAUAUAUUAAGGA
Raphanus sativus (radish) is the source of this 1265-nucleotide long non-coding RNA. RefSeq lists it as uncharacterized. NCBI's taxonomy places the organism in Eukaryota, Viridiplantae, Streptophyta, Magnoliopsida, Brassicales, Brassicaceae. The record is from RefSeq and is a predicted model, not a curated record. The transcript is spliced from 3 exons.